Molecule: long non-coding RNA, 912 nt
Organism: Glycine soja
Lineage: Eukaryota; Viridiplantae; Streptophyta; Magnoliopsida; Fabales; Fabaceae
Exons: 2
Source: RefSeq, a predicted model, not a curated record
AAACUCACAUUUAUUCCUCACAUACGUGAUGCAAGCAAAUUCUCUUUCAGGCUCUAUAUAAACCCCUUUAUCUCCCUUCACCUCUUCACACAAACAUCUCAAGUUUCUUAUUUCUUCCUUUCAUAUAUAUUCAAAAUUUCAAAUCAAAUGAAACAGCUUUUGUGUUAAAUAUAGAGGAAACAUGGUUAUAAAUUGAUUGUCUCCUCAUAAGUCUUCUGAACCCUUUCAGAAAUGAAUUUAAGGGGAAGAACCACUCAACUACAUAUCAACACUUUCAUUUAUUUUGAGAAGGUUAAAGGCUAAGGGAGAUGACAGAAGAGAGUGAGCACACAUGGUAUUUUCUUGCACGAUGACGAUUCAUGCUUGAAGCUAUGUGUGCUUACUCUCUAUCUGUCAUCCCAUCACCAUCUCUCAAUCCUUUUCAUUUUCUAUUUAUAUACUUUUUUUUUGUAUUUAUUUUCUUGCUUUCCCUUUUGGUGCUUGGACUAACCCUAAGUAGCAGCUUGGGACCUCACUAUAAGCAAAAUAAUAUUCACAUCAAAUCGAUCUCAUACAUAUCACAGGUUUUGAAAAUCUUGCCGGUAUGCUAUGGAUACAUAUUGACCUGUGCGAUACAGAAUCAAUAUUGAUGUUCUAUUUUCUUUGUGCUUCUAAAGGGAAGCUCAGAAAGCACCUGAUGUUCUAUUUUCUUUGUGCUUUGAAGAGAUCCUCGUGGGAAAGAAAUGUGUACACUGAUGAGAUGACAUGGAUGCAUAAAUGUUUUCGUCUAUGUUUGUUGCAGUUGUUCAUAAUAAAUUAAUUGGCAUCAGAUUGAUACCAAUUGUGUAGGGGAUUUUGGGAUCACCGUCGGAUAUAUUGAGUACGUAUCUAACUACUCUGGAUCAAUUUGAGAACAAUAUUUAUCAUGUGAUA